GACGAACGCUGGCGGCAUGCUUAACACAUGCAAGUCGAACGGAACGGCCCUGCCUUUGUGCGCUGCUCGAGUUGCGACCGGGGGAGCAACACGUGGGUAACCUGCCCUUGCCCGUGGGAUAACUUAAGGAAAGUGGGGCUAAUACCGGCAAGGAGUUCCCGCUGCAUGGUGGGGGUUGGAAAGUUUCGGCGGUUGGGGAUGGACUCGCGGCUUAUCAGCUCGUUGGUGGGGUAGUGGCUUACCAAGGCUUUGACGGGUAGCAGGCCUGCGAGGGUGACCGGCCACAUUGGGACUGAGAUACGGCCCAGACUCGUACGGGAGGCAGCAGUGGGGAAUAUUGCACAAUGGGCGGAAGCCUGAUGCAGCAACGCCGCGUGCGGGAUGACGGCCUUCGGGUUGUAAACCGCUUUCGCCUGUGACGAAGCGUGAGUGACGGUAAUGGGUAAAGAAGCACCGGCUAACUACGUG
This 468-nucleotide ribosomal RNA is filed under the name uncultured bacterium. RNAcentral describes it as "partial 16S ribosomal RNA". It matches the Rfam family "Bacterial small subunit ribosomal RNA", at positions 28 to 507 of the family's 1533-position model. The record is from RNAcentral.